GUGUUGUAUGAAAGGAGAAAAGGUUACCACACUCCUUGACAAGGAUGGAAGAGCCCCUCGGGCAUGACAAGACAUACAUGGUUAAGACAUUGCCACCUAUUUUGUGGCAUCUAACCAUCAUUUUUU
Molecule: small nuclear RNA, 126 nt
Organism: Cercocebus atys (sooty mangabey)
Lineage: Eukaryota; Metazoa; Chordata; Mammalia; Primates; Cercopithecidae
Source: Ensembl